GAUCGGGUCGUGACAUAUGGUAUUGUAUCCUAUUGUACAAUAUCAUAUUGUGUUGUAUCAUGUUGUAUCUAGUCAUAUUACACUCAGUGUGUUUACAUGCACAGCUUAAUCAGACAGAGCUCAUAAUUUGUUGUAUUUCGCCGAAUCAGACUUCUCUUCUUGUCUGCGUCCACAUGCAGCUGAGAAAAUUGAAUUAUUAACGUUAACAUGUCCUCCUCCCCAAAACUAGGGGGUGAUAUGGGUCUUUUCAGUGGCGCUGUUUCUGGUCUUCCAGUUUCUGACCUUCCAUAUACUUAAAAAUGUCCAUUUCUUUCAGGAGGGAAAGCAUAAUGGCGCUCUCCUCGUCUUUACAAAAGUGGACUCUUUUGUGCUUCAGCUAUGUUGCAGUUGCUUGUGUGAGAGUGCCACUUCUUCGCUGAUAUUUUUUUCUGGGUUACGGGGGUGUGGCGCACGUGCACAUGUAUUGUCCAAUCAUACUCCGACUACGCCGGUUUCAUGGUAGAGAAAAUUGAAUUCCAACACAUUAUCCAUGUGUUUUUAUCAGAGUUUCCUACUCCAAUCGGGAUUCUUAAACUUUGAUUAUAGUCAGACUAAGGUGUUUACAUGCACUUCAGUUGUCUGGUCUUAAUCGGAGUAAUUCAAUAAUUCCGUUUUCUCAAGUGUCAUGUAAACAUACUGACUGUAUCACUGUAUCAAAUAGCAUAAUAUGGUAUGGUAUUGUAUGUCACUGAACCAUAUCACACAGCACAGUUCCUGGUCGUAGCUUAUUGCAACAAACUUUAUUUUAUCUAUUGUAUUGUAUCAGCUCAGAUUGAAUUGGAUCAGAUUCUACAGCAUCCUUCCAUAUGAUUUUUGUUCAUUUCAUAACAUAUUAAAUCAAAUUGAAUUGCCUUUUUUUCAUAGGAUGCUCCAUAGUAUUGGUUCAUAUUGUGUAGAUUUUAUAUUAAUUGAAUUAAAUUGCAUUUCGCUGCAACAUACCAUUUUUUUAUUAUAUUGUGUGGUAUUGUUGCGUAACUUAAUUUCAUAUAUUAGUUUAUUAUGUUUAAUUGACUCAUAUCAUAUCUCAUUGUAAUGCACAGUGUCUUGACACACAGUGUUGCAUCAUGCUGUACAUUAUUUGACCCCUUUGCGUCAUACUAUUCCAUGUAAGUUCGUGUCUGCCUUCUCACAUCCUAAUGUUGCACAUCCAAUGAUGUUGCAUCAUAGUACAUUGCACCACAGCAUGUCUGAUGGUAUGUACCAAUCCUAUACAGACCGUGUUUGUGAAAUGAUCUAUGACUGGCGAGACCAUACGCAGUUCAAGCAACACCUCAUGUUGUUUCAGAAAAAUAUACUCUUAGGUCAGUGAAAAUCCAACAUAUGGUUUGAUAGCUUGUCUCAAAGCAUGGUGCCUUAUCGUAUCAUAUUGGGCCAAAUCCUGAUGUAUCAGAUAAGGUCAUAAUGUAUCAGAUCUUAUCAUAUCAUACUCAUGGUAUUAUUCCAUUUCACAUAUCAUCCUUACAUUUCAUAAUGUCACUUUGUAUCAGAUCUUAUCGUACCAUUUCACAUUUCUAUAGAUUGUAGAGAAUAAUCAUGGAAUAGUAAUAUGGAAUCAUAGUAUGAAUCCAAUUUGAGUCCAAUUCAAGUAAGAUGGUUUAUUUUUUUGUGGUUCUAUACCCCUCUGUUACAUAUCCUAUCAUGUUGUGUAGAAAUUCACAGUUCGCACCAUAAAGUGCAAAGAUAAACAGUAUCACAUAUCAGGUCAUAUAUCAUACAGUAUCAUAUUGUAAUGCCUUAUUUGUUGUCAUAGAGUAAUAUUUCAUAAUAUGUUGUAUUCUUGCGCUUGUAUAUAAUAUAUUUAUUAUCAAGUCAAUUACAUUAAAUACUGAUUAUUUCAUUCGAAGCAAAAACUAAAGGAGCUGCAUGGCUGCCUGCUAACGAGGAUAAUCCUUUUUUAUAGGGAUUAUAUUGUACAGAUAGACUACAUGUCAAGUCCCUUAUUUGCUCACUCACAAGCUUGUCCCAGGAAUCAUCCCUCCAUUAUGAAAUCUGAUCCAUACUUUUAUUUCUGCUUAGGGGAGCGAGGAGCAAGAUGAAAUCCCGAGGGGGCAGAUGUGAUAAUGGUGGCUAUCUUUGCUGAAGUCUUUUACUGGACUGGCACACACCGGACUAGUCACCACACACAGUUUUAGACUUUUAUAGAAUUUGAUCUGUUAUCUAAUUUUUAUUUUCCACGACACAUUUGGCUGGUAGAUAUUUCCAUUCAGAUUUACACAUUUUCUUUAUAACUUUUAUAAAUGAAUAACUAUAUUUUAAACCAAAUACUUCUGAAUGGAGUCGCAGAUGGUUAUUCAAUUAGAAGUGCAUUCUGUUUUUAAGAAAGCCCGCCCUUCUUUAAAGACCUGUUUCCUGGUUUUCUCUCUUCUUGCAUCAUUACCUUUUGUAACAUGAAUGCAAUAAAAGGAGCGUGCAUGAACCCACGGACUGAUUUUCAUUAAGCUUUUUUUUUCUUAGGCCAUUUAAGGGCAGAGAAAAAAGCUAAACACAAUAAUUUACUUAGAUUAAAUGAUUGUCAUGGUCCUCAUACUAAUAAACUCAAUUUCAUUUUCAAUUUUCAGGGGACAUCUCAAUCUCUUUAGCUAUUAACUUUUAACAUAGAUACAAAAAGAUGAUUUAUUUAGGUGUAAAAAUAGCGAGUCAUGAUGGUUUCUUUACUCCUAACAUUUUAACUUGCAUGUUUUUCUUGUAAUCUUCAUACAGAUUAAAGGUUGAUAAAUAUACGCAGUGCCUAGAUUAGUACAAAAAUGUUAACAGAAUCUAUCUGGGUAAGGAUAGGAGGCUGGAGUAGUCACUAUAUUGCCAUGCUACACUCACAUCCUGCUCGGGGAAUUAAGUUGUCACCAAUCAAAGCAAAUUUAAUUAAACCCGGCCUCGAAAGAUUGGCCCUCUCUUUUCUAUAGCUCUUUUGUCCAAUCUUAUAGCAAUGCUUUCGCCACCUAGUCACUUUUAAUGCCUUACCUCCUCUGUACUCACACACAAUGUCAAGAGGUCUUUGCUUGCUGAUCUAUGUAGGACAAGCAGCGGGGUGUCUGAAGUAAUAAAUGAACAAGAUGAAUGUGGGGGAUAUGUUCAUUUGAAGGCUCUUGUCACUGAGGGUUUGUCGUCCGGCUGCACAAAGGGUGGAGCCGUCCUGCCUGAUUUACUUUAGAUUCAAACCAUGGCUAAAUUGGAAAUCGUGAAUCACUCUGACACCAUUGGUGCAAGAUGGAUUACUCCAGUUAAAGGCUGCCUUUUUCUUCGCUGUUGGUUCCUUUAAAAGAAAUCAUACAAAAAUUAAAUUCUCUGACAGACGGCUGACCCGGGCAGUCAACAAAAGGGAAUAGCAAAAGGCGAGGCCAGCGCUGAGGCACUACAAAGCUGGUUUUAUCAGCACAGCACUACCCCGACCACAUCCAAAAAGCUCUCAGCAGCACAAUGAGCCUGGCUGAAUAUUUGAUCAACUGUCGCAGGUUUAACAAGCUUUGCCAAACUACACCUGCCUGGAGGAAAAAGAUAUGCCUUUGAGAAGGGUAAUGCCUCCCUGCGAGAUGUAAAAGAAGUAAGAGUUUGAUGUUCACAGUGGCCAAUCUGCACUAAUCUCAUUCAAUCUUGGGUACACGGACUGGCAGGGAUGUUCAAGAUUUGCAUUAUGGAACAAUAGCUUCAGCGGAUGCCAAUAAUGCCCUUAAGCAUAAUCAGGCUGUAAAUUAUGAACAAUACACGCAAUGCAGUCCACUGUCGGCUAAAAGGGGUGUUUACAAAUUAAAUUCAAUAAAAUAACUAUAAAACCGUCACUCCAACCUGAUGUGAUACAGUAAAAUGUUCUUAAACUCACACACAUCAAAUCUUGGAUAACACACUUGUGCAAAGGUGUGAUUUUUUUUUUGUCUCAUUCUGUCUUUCAAUCUGAUUGUCAGGAUGUGUGUUUGUGCAUGGGUGCGUUUGUGUGUGUUCACCUCCAACUCAUCGUUGCUGGCUGCAGCUCAUUGCCCCGCAGUAAUAUCAGGCCUUGCAGACACCUGGGACCGGUGGUGUGGGCCCUCAGAGGAGGCAACCGCCUGGCAACUGGCCCUGAUUACUUUCUCCACUCUCCGGAACUCAACCCUGUAUAUGCCAUUAACCAGCUGCACGCAGUGUGAACCCAGCUCGACCGUGCCAUUAACCCUGUACACAAAGGGUUGUUUACAAAAUACACACUCACAUACACACACACAAAUGCAUGCACUCACGCAUGGAUGCGCCCACGCGGACAUAAAACUUCACAACUUAACCACCUGCUUGCUGAAGCUGGAGCCAACAUCUUCCAGGAUCUCCACAUCAGAGUCCGGACAACAGGAAAGCAUGGAGCUGGGCUGACAUCUAGUGUGUAAAAGCAGAACAACCAGGAGGGUGUCUGUGAACUGCGGAUGAAGUGCAGACGUUUUAAUAUUAGGCUUUAUUAUGAUAAUCAUGGAUUAAAAAAGAAGUGAUGUCCCACAGCAAAUAUAAUGUGAUAUCAGAAAAGUCUAAGUUCAUUUCCAGAUUCAUCCCUGACAAAAAUAUACAACAGUCAUGGUCAAAUCAAAAUCAUAGUGUUUAUAGUUGUGUGAUUGCUUUAUUUGUCUUAUACAUCUUUUCUAUCACUUCAAAACGUAAUCAUUAUUCUAUUUGUUUUUGUAAGUGUUAUCUCAUACCUACUCUAUCAAAUAUGGAUUUAUACACCAAUGUAAAUAAAUUUCAUUCAAGUUGUACUUUGUUUUGUAGAGUUUUGCAAUAGUUUCCGACAUUUUUCUUCUAUGUUGCUUCCAACUAAGUUUGUCAACUUUGGUGCCCCCCUGUGGACAAAGCAGAUUUAGCCUAUUAUUUCCUUCUCAUGUUUUGGAAAGUCUUCUGGCAAAAAAAUCUUAUCCUGCUGACUUUGGACGGUCAAGUGCAUAAUUUUUAUGAAUAUUGUUUUUAUGAAUGUAAAAAAAGGGCCUCACUGACACCCACCCCUUGCUCCAGUUUCAGGCAUUGAAAAUAGCUGUGUAUAAAUCCUCAA
This 5038-nucleotide long non-coding RNA is filed under the name Xyrichtys novacula (pearly razorfish). Lineage: Eukaryota; Metazoa; Chordata; Actinopteri; Labriformes; Labridae. The record is from RNAcentral.